RNAcentral lists this ribosomal RNA (253 nucleotides) under uncultured bacterium. Its description in RNAcentral is "partial 16S ribosomal RNA". It matches the Rfam family "Bacterial small subunit ribosomal RNA", at positions 524 to 776 of the family's 1533-position model. The record is from RNAcentral.
UACGUAGGCAGCGAGCGUUGUUCGGAGUUACUGGGCGUAAAGGGCGCGCAGGCGGCUCUGAAAGUCAGAUGUGAAAGCCCCGGGCUUAACCUGGGAAUUGCAUUUGAUACUCUGGAGCUUGAGUGUGGGAGAGGAGAGUGGAAUUCCCAGUGUAGAGGUGAAAUUCGUAGAGAUCGGGAGGAACACCGGUGGCGAAGGCGGGUCUCUGGGCAAUUCCUGACGCUGAGGCGCGAAAGCGUGGGGAGCAAACGGG